Medicago truncatula (barrel medic) is the source of this 500-nucleotide long non-coding RNA. RefSeq lists it as uncharacterized. The record is from RefSeq and is a predicted model, not a curated record. NCBI's taxonomy places the organism in Eukaryota, Viridiplantae, Streptophyta, Magnoliopsida, Fabales, Fabaceae. The transcript is spliced from 3 exons.
UUUAUAUUUAUAACAUCUAAGAGAAAAAAAAAAAAAAACAUUUAAGAGAAGAAAAAUAUGACUCAAAUUUCCAUAUCUUUUUAUGCUUUGAUAAUCUUUUUUUCUCUUUUUCUUGUUGUAACCAAUGGCCGAAAUAAGACGUGCAACUACAGUAGUGAAUGUCUAUUUCAUAAUUGUCCCCUUGGUUGGGUUAUGAAGUGUUUCACUUAUUUUUGUGCGUGCUCGCGCUUGUAACAGGAACAUGUACGAAUCAACAUUCGUAUCAAGUCAAUUUGUCGGUGGCUAUUAAAGAUGUUUAUCUAUUUUUUUUUUUUUUGGUAGAAGAUGUUUAUCCACUUUAUUUUGUAUUAAUAAGUUCUAUCCAUUAAUAUGAAAAAUAGUAUAUGUUUGAUAUAAGCAUAUAAUUUAAUUGUAUGUCAUAAUUUCCCUCACACUUUAAUAUAUAUUUUUAUUUGAUCUUAAUGGAGAUGGGUUCCCGGGCCUGAUGGGUUUAAUGGUUA